AUGCAAGUCGAACGAUGAUCUCCCGCUUGCGGGGGUGAUUAGUGGCGAACGGGUGAGUUUUACGUGAGUAACUGCCCUUGACUCUGGGAUAAGCCUGGGAAACCGGGUCUAAUACUGGAUACGACUCCUCGUCGCAUGGUGGGGGGUGGAAAGGGUUUGACUGGUUUUGGAUGGGCUCACGGCCUAUCAGCUUGUUGGUGGGGUAAUGGCUCACCAAGGCGACGACGGGUAGCCGGCCUGAGAGGGUGACCGGCCACACUGGGACUGAGACACGGCCCAGACUCCUACGGGAGGCAGCAGUGGGGAAUAUUGCACAAUGGGCGGAAGCCUGAUGCAGCGACGCCGCGUGAGGGAUGACGGCCUUCGGGUUGUAAACCUCUUUCAGCAGGGAAGAAGCCACAAGUGACGGUACCUGCAGAAGAAGCGCCGGCUAACUACGUGCCAGCAGCCGCGGUAAUACGUAGGGCGCAAGCGUUGUCCGGAAUUAUUGGGCGUAAAGAGCUCGUAGGCGGUUUGUCGCGUCUGCUGUGAAAGCCCGGGGCUCAACCCCGGGUCUGCAGUGGGUACGGGCAGACUAGAGUGCAGUAGGGGAGACUGGAAUUCCUGGUGUAGCGGUGAAAUGCGCAGAUAUCAGGAGGAACACCGAUGGCGAAGGCAGGUCUCUGGGCUGUUACUGACGCUGAGGAGCGAAAGCAUGGGGAGCGAACAGGAUUAGAUACCCUGGUAGUCCAUGCCGUAAACGUUGGGCACUAGGUGUGGGGGACAUUCCACGUUCUCCGCGCCGUAGCUAACGCAUUAAGUGCCCCGCCUGGGGAGUACGGCCGCAAGGCUAAAACUCAAAGGAAUUGACGGGGGCCCGCACAAGCGGCGGAGCAUGCGGAUUAAUUCGAUGCAACGCGAAGAACCUUACCAAGGCUUGACAUUCACCGGACCGCCCCAGAGAUGGGGUUUCCCUUCGGGGUCGGUGGACAGGUGGUGCAUGGUUGUCGUCA
This 992-nucleotide ribosomal RNA is filed under the name Kocuria turfanensis. RNAcentral describes it as "bacterial SSU rRNA". It matches the Rfam family "Bacterial small subunit ribosomal RNA", at positions 55 to 1057 of the family's 1533-position model. The record is from RNAcentral. Lineage: Bacteria; Bacillati; Actinomycetota; Actinomycetes; Micrococcales; Micrococcaceae.